UACGAAGGGGGCUAGCGUUGCUCGGAAUCACUGGGCGUAAAGCGCACGUAGGCGGCUUCUUAAGUCAGGGGUGAAAUCCUGGAGCUCAACUCCAGAACUGCCUUUGAUACUGAGGAGCUUGAGUCCGGGAGAGGUGAGUGGAACUCCGAGUGUAGAGGUGAAAUUCGUAGAUAUUCGGAAGAACACCAGUGGCGAAGGCGGCUCACUGGCCCGGUACUGACGCUGAGGUGCGAAAGCGUGGGGAGCAAACAGG
RNAcentral lists this ribosomal RNA (253 nucleotides) under uncultured bacterium. RNAcentral's name for it is "partial 16S ribosomal RNA". It matches the Rfam family "Bacterial small subunit ribosomal RNA", at positions 524 to 776 of the family's 1533-position model. The record is from RNAcentral.